CACGGGUGCGUAACACGUAACUAACCUACCUAUAUCUGGGGGAUAGCCCGCCGAAAAGCGGAUUAAUACCGCAUAACACUUGAUUUCGGCAUCGAGAUUUAGUUAAAGAUUUAUUGGUUAUAGAUGGGGUUGCGGGUCAUUAGCUAGUUGGUUGGGUAAUGGCUGACCAAGGCGACGAUGACUAGGGGAGCUGAGAGGCUGGUCCCCCACACGGGCACUGAGAUACGGGCCCGACUCCUACGGGAGGCAGCAGUAGGGAAUAUUGGGCAAUGGGCGAGAGCCUGACCCAGCCAUGCCGCGUGCAGGAAGAAGGCUUUCUGAGUCGUAAACUGCUUUUGACAGGGAAGAAUAAGCACUACGUGUAGUGUGAUGACGGUACCUGCAGAAUAAGCACCGGCUAACUCCGUGCCAGCAGCCGCGGUAAU
Molecule: ribosomal RNA, 425 nt
Filed under: uncultured bacterium
Lineage: Bacteria
Description: bacterial SSU rRNA
Rfam family: Bacterial small subunit ribosomal RNA
Source: RNAcentral